CUAUGCGCCUUGCCAGCCCGCUCAGUCAGAGUUUGAUCCUGGCUCAGAACGAACGCUGGCGGCAUGCCUAACACAUGCAAGUCGAACGAGACCUUCGGGUCUAGUGGCGCACGGGUGCGUAACGCGUGGGAAUCUGCCCUUGGGUUCGGGAUAACAGUUGGAAACGACUGCUAAUACCGGAUGAUAUCUUCGGAUCAAAGAUUUAUCGCCCAGGGAUGAGCCCGCGUAGGAUUAGCUUGUUGGUGAGGUAAAAGCUCACCAAGGCGACGAUCCUUAGCUGGUCUGAGAGGAUGAUCAGCCACACUGGGACUGAGGCACGGACCAG
Molecule: ribosomal RNA, 325 nt
Filed under: uncultured bacterium
Lineage: Bacteria
Description: partial 16S ribosomal RNA
Rfam family: Bacterial small subunit ribosomal RNA
Source: RNAcentral